GGAACCUACGGGGCGCAGCAGUGAGGAAUAUUGGUCAAUGGGCGGGAGCCUGAACCAGCCAAGCCGCGUGAGGGAAGAAGGUACAGCGUAUCGUAAAACUCUUUUGCCGGGGAGCAAAAAGCGGUACGUGUACCGCAUCGAGAGUACCCGGAGAAAAAGCAUCGGCUAACUCCGUGCCAGCAGCCGCGGUAAUACGGAGGAUGCGAGCGUUAUCCGGAUUUAUUGGGUUUAAAGGGUGCGCAGGCGGCGAGUUAAGUCAGCGGUAAAAUUUCGGGGCUCAACCCCGACGAGCCGUUGAAACUGGC
RNAcentral lists this ribosomal RNA (305 nucleotides) under uncultured bacterium. RNAcentral describes it as "bacterial SSU rRNA". It matches the Rfam family "Bacterial small subunit ribosomal RNA", at positions 334 to 637 of the family's 1533-position model. The record is from RNAcentral.